AUUGAACGCUGGCGGCAGGCCUAACACAUGCAAGUCGAACGGUAACAGGAAGAAGCUUGCUUCUUUGCUGACGAGUGGCGGACGGGUGAGUAAUGUCUGGGAAACUGCCUGAUGGAGGGGGAUAACUACUGGAAACGGUAGCUAAUACCGCAUAACGUCGCAAGCCCAAAGAGGGGGACCUUCGGGCCUCUUGCCAUCGGAUGUGCCCAGAUGGGAUUAGCUAGUAGGUGGGGUAACGGCUCACCUAGGCGACGAUCCCUAGCUGGUCUGAGAGGAUGACCAGCCACACUGGAACUGAGACACGGUCCAGACUCCUACGGGAGGCAGCAGUGGGGAAUAUUGCACAAUGGGCGCAAGCCUGAUGCAGCCAUGCCGCGUGUAUGAAGAAGGCCUUCGGGUUGUAAAGUACUUUCAGCGGGGAGGAAGGGAGGAAAGUGAAUACCUUUGCUCAUUGACGUUACCCGCAGAAGAAGCACCGGCUAACUCCGUG
Molecule: ribosomal RNA, 490 nt
Filed under: uncultured bacterium
Lineage: Bacteria
Description: partial 16S ribosomal RNA
Rfam family: Bacterial small subunit ribosomal RNA
Source: RNAcentral